Long non-coding RNA from Fukomys damarensis (Damara mole-rat), 383 nucleotides. RefSeq lists it as uncharacterized. The transcript is spliced from 3 exons. Lineage: Eukaryota; Metazoa; Chordata; Mammalia; Rodentia; Bathyergidae. The record is from RefSeq and is a predicted model, not a curated record.
CCAGGCCAAGCCAAGCAGAGAGCCUGCAUUAGCAGUUAGUGGCCUGAGCAGGUGGGAGACGUUGCUCAACUGUCUCUGUUUGGGAAUUGAGAAUCACGGAUCCUCACCGGUGCUCUACACCCUGUGGCUUUGGAAAAGCACAUGAGAGUUGCCUGGGUCAGCUGAACCGGUCUGCUUGGUCCCGAACUCACAGAGCAGGGCUUCCAGCGCGAGGGGAAAGCUCUCAGCCCAGCCUUCCCACCCUGGUCCCACCGUUUCCCGCCCAGAGGUGACAGCAGAUGCCCCAACCGUUCAUCUCUCAGAUAAGGUCUCAAUAUGGAAAGCAUCGAGAAUAUCAUGCACAUAAAUGUAAAGGUCGUUUUCUCCAUUUGUUUUGGCUUAAU